Odocoileus virginianus texanus is the source of this 1559-nucleotide long non-coding RNA. RefSeq lists it as uncharacterized. The record is from RefSeq and is a predicted model, not a curated record. NCBI's taxonomy places the organism in Eukaryota, Metazoa, Chordata, Mammalia, Artiodactyla, Cervidae.
UUCAAGUCUAUCUUUCCAUGGCUCUCACCUCCCUGGCCCAGACUUUCAGGUCCCCACUCAUUGUCUUCUUACCGUGAGGUUAGUUUGCAUCACUGGAUUGGGAUUUAUGGCAUUUAAUCCUCUUGGUUGUAUCAGGUGUGGAUGACUGCCCUUACGGGAUAAAGAAGCUCAGAGAGAUGAUGCACCUUGCCUAAGGCCAUAGAGCCUGGAGCACCAAGGCCAAGACUGGAACCCAGGUCUUCUGUUUCAAGAUCCAGGGCUCUUGACUCAACACCAGACACCUCCCAUCUGCAGUGGCUCAGAUCUCAUGGCUCCAUCAACCACAUCAAAUUGUACUCUCUGUUUGAACUCCUUUCUGGAGGCCAUUAAGCUAAAGGAGGCCACUUAGGAGGAUGAGGAUGACAACAAUGGUGGUGAUCAUGAUGAUGAAGAUUGCUGGAUUCUGCCGCUGAAACUACCUGUGAUUUUAUUGGUCAGUGUUUACAAGUGUGCAGGGAGAUUGGGUUCUUUCCUGAAGUACAGAAGGAAAGAUCUUCUGAGUUCCCAGGCACCAGGAUUGGACAGGUAAUUAUAAUUGUGUUGGGUGCUGUGAGGGAGGAGGAGGAGAAUGGGGAUCAGCUUGGAAGAUGGUGAUGGCUCCCUGGAGGUUGUGACUAUCUUGAUGAUAUGCGACUCCCCUCACCUUCCCAUUUCGCUCCUCUGUCUCCCCUUCCCCAGCCUCUCCAGCCACAGUCACCCAGAUCUUGUCUUUCAGGAUUUCUUCAUCCUUUUAUAGGGUUACACAGUGUCAUCUUCUCUUGGUUGUGGUCUUCUUUAUUUUCACCCAUCAUCUUUUCAGUGAAACAAGAAGCAUUUGUGGGCAGCUACUCUAUUUAGAAGAGGGGGUAUGAUAAAUAAUCAUCAUUUUACUUUUUUCAGCCACUUGCAGGAGCCAAGUUCAAACUUGGCCCUGAAAUAAGUGGAUGUGUGCGACGAGGGAAGAGAAGAGGGGCAGAGGGGGAAGAGAUGCUUUGUGAACACAGGCUUUCCUACCUUUGGCCUUGACUUUGUAUCUCUGUGGGCUGGUGAAGGACUGAGAGCCUCAGCUUUCUACCUUGGCUGCAAGGCAGUGGGGGAAAGUGCUGUGAAAUUAGGAAAUCUUUAAGAAGCAAACAUCUUAAAGCCUCCAUGUUUUCCCUGCCCUGGGUGCCAAGACAACUCACAAGUGAAGAGUAAGUGGUGGUGGCUGUGGUGGUUGGCAUUCCAUGGCUCAUGGAAGGUGAGAAGGGGAAGGAAGGUGGAACAUGGAGUCUCCAGGGAGCUGAGGUCAGUCAUGCAGAGAUGAGGCGGGCUGUUGCAGGGUGCCUCGGGGCCUUUCACCGAGUCUGUUCCUUAUCCUGACAACAGUGGGAAGGUGUAGAAGGCUUUAGAACAGAGGACUGGUAUAACCUUUUUGUCUUUUGAGAUUUCUUGGUGAAUGAAUUUAAGCCAUUUUGGCUGACCAGUACUUUCCAGGCUAUCUUGGGAAAAUAGGACCUCCAUCAGGAGAGGCUGGAGGGCUUCCCUAGUGGUUCACUGGU